RNAcentral lists this ribosomal RNA (601 nucleotides) under uncultured Actinomycetes bacterium. Its description in RNAcentral is "bacterial SSU rRNA". It matches the Rfam family "Bacterial small subunit ribosomal RNA", at positions 252 to 866 of the family's 1533-position model. The record is from RNAcentral. Lineage: Bacteria; Bacillati; Actinomycetota; Actinomycetes.
GUGGGGUAACGGCCUACCAAGGCAUCGACGGGUAGCUGGUCUGAGAGGACGAUCAGCCACACUGGGACUGAGACACGGCCCAGACUCCUACGGGAGGCAGCAGCAGGGAAUCUUGCGCAAUGGGCGAAAGCCUGACGCAGCAACGCCGCGUGGGGGAUGACGGCCUUCGGGUUGUAAACCCCUUUCAGGAGGGAAGAAAAUGACGGUACCUCCAGAAGAAGCCCCGGCCAACUACGUGCCAGCAGCCGCGGUAAUACGUAGGGGGCGAGCGUUGUCCGGAAUUAUUGGGCGUAAAGAGCUCGUAGGCGGCUCAGCAAGUCGGCUGUGAAAUCCCGAGGCUCAACCUCGGAACUGCAGUCGAUACUGCUGUGGCUAGAGUCUGGUAGAGGAGAAUGGAAUUCCCGGUGUAGCGGUGAAAUGCGCAGAUAUCGGGAGGAACACCAGUAGCGAAGGCGGUUCUCUGGGCCAGUACUGACGCUGAGGAGCGAAAGCGUGGGGAGCAAAUAGGAUUAGAUACCCUGGUAGUCCACGCCGUAAACGUUGGGUACUAGGUGUGGCGUCCCGAUCAACGGAUGCCGUGCCGAAGCUAACGCAUUAAGUA